This 426-nucleotide long non-coding RNA is filed under the name Acanthaster planci (crown-of-thorns starfish). RNAcentral's name for it is "uncharacterized LOC110983827, transcript variant X2". Lineage: Eukaryota; Metazoa; Echinodermata; Asteroidea; Valvatida; Acanthasteridae. The record is from RNAcentral.
AUGUGCAAAUGGCUUUGGAGGAAGAGACGACGUAGCUGUACUUGCAGACAACAAUCGACAAAACUUGGAAUGGAUUUUGCUUUUCAAGAAAGCAACGUUGGACUUCAGCAGCACUGCCUGUACAUCCUCAGAGUCGCUUGGACCACUGAGCUACAAACUCUAUGCUUGGACUGACGGAAGGAGAAUUUUGCACUAGUGGAACUGGCAGUGGGAGAACACAGCUGUGCAGUUCGUUCGUCCAUGCUGUCUCUCAGAAAAUGCUGCCAACACACGUCAUGACCUUUUACAUCGUUCGUUUGAUGGAGCGAUUCGCCGUCUCUGCUCGGUAACCACUGACCUCUGAUUGCCUAGGACUGAAGGGUUUUGUCAACGGCAGAAAUAUUCCACGGAUGACUCGCAUGUCCAAUAAUCGUAAGCCGGGAUAAG